GCCGAGGUGGAGGAAUAGGCAGACUCGCAUCUUUGAGGGGGAUGUGCCAGCGAUGGCGUGUGGGUUCAACUCCCACCCUCGGCACCA
Molecule: transfer RNA, 87 nt
Filed under: Parcubacteria group bacterium CG08_land_8_20_14_0_20_43_9
Lineage: Bacteria
Description: tRNA-Leu
Rfam family: tRNA
About the family: Transfer RNA (tRNA) molecules are approximately 80 nucleotides in length. Their secondary structure includes four short double-helical elements and three loops (D, anti-codon, and T loops).
Source: RNAcentral